GGGUUGUGAGGUUAAGCGACUAAGCGUACACGGUGGAUGCCCUGGCAGUCAGAGGCGAUGAAGGGCGUGCUAAUCUGCGAUAAGCGCCGGUAAGGUGAUAUGAACCGUUAUAACCGGCGAUACCCGAAUGGGGAAACCCAGUGUGACUCGUCACACUAUCAUUAACUGAAUCCAUAGGUUAAUGAGGCGAACCGGGGGAACUGAAACAUCUAAGUACCCCGAGGAAAAGAAAUCAACCGAGAUUCCCCCAGUAGCGGCGAGCGAACGGGGAGGAGCCCAGAGCCUGAAUCAGCAUGUGUGUUAGUGGAAGCGUCUGGAAAGGCGCGCGAUACAGGGUGACAGCCCCGUACACAAAAGCGCAUGUGCUGUGAGCUCGAUGAGUAGGGCGGGACACGUGGUAUCCUGUCUGAAUAUGGGGGGACCAUCCUCCAAGGCUAAAUACUCCUGACUGACCGAUAGUGAACCAGUACCGUGAGGGAAAGGCGAAAAGAACCCCGGCGAGGGGAGUGAAAAAGAACCUGAAACCGUGUACGUACAAGCAGUGGGAGCCCCACCACCAAAGCAUUUGCUGUACCGCGUUGACGGAGCGAAGCGACGUCA
This 600-nucleotide ribosomal RNA is filed under the name Salmonella enterica. RNAcentral's name for it is "partial 23S ribosomal RNA". It matches the Rfam family "Bacterial large subunit ribosomal RNA", at positions 1 to 587 of the family's 2925-position model. Lineage: Bacteria; Pseudomonadati; Pseudomonadota; Gammaproteobacteria; Enterobacterales; Enterobacteriaceae. RNAcentral also lists the same sequence under 1 other name. The record is from RNAcentral.